This 74-nucleotide transfer RNA is filed under the name Trimeresurus erythrurus. RNAcentral's name for it is "tRNA-Asn". The record is from RNAcentral. Lineage: Eukaryota; Metazoa; Chordata; Lepidosauria; Squamata; Viperidae.
UAGGUUAAAGUCCGUUGGUUUGGACGGCUAACUGUUAAUUAGUUUUUUUGUGGGAUCGAGGCCCGCUGACCUAG